AGCGGUAGCACAGAGAGCUUGCUCUCGGGUGACGAGCGGCGGACGGGUGAGUAAUGUCUGGGAAACUGCCUGAUGGAGGGGGAUAACUACUGGAAACGGUAGCUAAUACCGCAUAAUGUCGCAAGACCAAAGUGGGGGACCUUCGGGCCUCAUGCCAUCAGAUGUGCCCAGAUGGGAUUAGCUAGUAGGUGGGGUAACGGCUCACCUAGGCGACGAUCCCUAGCUGGUCUGAGAGGAUGACCAGCCACACUGGAACUGAGACACGGUCCAGACUCCUACGGGAGGCAGCAGUGGGGAAUAUUGCACAAUGGGCGCAAGCCUGAUGCAGCCAUGCCGCGUGUGUGAAGAAGGCCUUCGGGUUGUAAAGCACUUUCAGCGGGGAGGAAGGCGAUAAGGUUAAUAACCUUGUCGAUUGACGUUACCCGCAGAAGAAGCACCGGCUAACUCCGUGCCAGCAGCCGCGGUAAUACGGAGGGUGCAAGCGUUAAUCGGAAUUACUGGGCGUAAAGCGCACGCAGGCGGUCUGUCAAGUCGGAUGUGAAAUCCCCGGGCUCAACCUGGGAACUGCAUUCGAAACUGGCAGGCUAGAGUCUUGUAGAGGGGGGUAGAAUUCCAGGUGUAGCGGUGAAAUGCGUAGAGAUCUGGAGGAAUACCGGUGGCGAAGGCGGCCCCCUGGACAAAGACUGACGCUCAGGUGCGAAAGCGUGGGGAGCAAACAGGAUUAGAUACCCUGGUAGUCCACGCCGUAAACGAUGUCGAUUUGGAGGUUGUGCCCUUGAGGCGUGGCUUCCGGAGCUAUACGCGUUAAAUCGACCGCUGGGGAGUAC
This 827-nucleotide ribosomal RNA is filed under the name uncultured Enterobacteriaceae bacterium. RNAcentral's name for it is "SSU rRNA". It matches the Rfam family "Bacterial small subunit ribosomal RNA", at positions 65 to 883 of the family's 1533-position model. The record is from RNAcentral. Lineage: Bacteria; Pseudomonadati; Pseudomonadota; Gammaproteobacteria; Enterobacterales; Enterobacteriaceae.